CCUACGGGUGGCAGCAGUGGGGGAUAUUGCACAAUGGGGGGAACCCUGAUGCAGCGACGCCGCGUGGGUGAAGAAGCGCCUCGGCGCGUAAAGCCCUGUCAGCAGGGAAGAAAAUGACGGUAACUGAAGAAGAAGCCACGGCUAACUACGGGCCAACAGCCGCGGUAAUACGUAGGGGGCAAGCGUUAUCCGGAUUGACUGGGGGUAAAGGGGGCGCAGACGGCGAUGCAAGCCAGGAGUGAAAGCCCGGGGCGCAACCCCGGGCCUGCUUUUGGAACUGCGUGGCUAGAGUGCAGGAGGGGAAGGCGGAAUUCCUGGUGUAGCGGUGAAAUGCGUAGAUAUCAGGAGGAACACCGGUGGCGAAGGCGGCCUGCUGGACUGCAACUGACGUUGAGGCCCGAAAGCGUGGGGAGCAAACAGGAUUAGAUACCCUAGUAGUC
This 440-nucleotide ribosomal RNA is filed under the name uncultured bacterium. RNAcentral describes it as "partial 16S ribosomal RNA". It matches the Rfam family "Bacterial small subunit ribosomal RNA", at positions 338 to 795 of the family's 1533-position model. The record is from RNAcentral.